Molecule: ribosomal RNA, 1093 nt
Filed under: uncultured Tulasnellaceae
Lineage: Eukaryota; Fungi; Basidiomycota; Agaricomycetes; Cantharellales; Tulasnellaceae
Description: eukaryotic LSU rRNA
Rfam family: Eukaryotic large subunit ribosomal RNA (bases 518-1093)
Source: RNAcentral
GCCCUCGCGGGCCCCUCGUUCUCACUCUGGAUGCAAUGCACCCCUCGUACGGGUGCUAGUCUCGGUCCUCUUGGGCCUUGACAAAACUUUUGUAAUCCAUCAUCAUGCCUAUUGCCAAUACAAGAGAUUAUUACAACCAGUAGCGUUGGAUCCCUUGGCACGUCGUUCGAUGAAGACCGUUGCAAAAUGCGAUAAGUGGUGUGAUAUGCAAGUCCAAAACUUAUACGUGAACCAUCGAAUUGUUGAACGCACUGCAUCGAGCCUUAUCCAGGAACGAUACGCCCCAUUGAGCGUCAUUAUGUCUUCGCGACAUCGUGUCUUUCUGACUCGAUGUCCGGGUUCGGGAUUCACGGCCGGUCAUCGGUCGCGCUUCCUUAGAUGAAUUGGCUGUGCCGGAGCGAGCAGUGACCUUGUCAUGAAUGUCGAGGUGUGCUGUCUUUUGGUCCGAGCGCAAGAUCCUCCUUUCUGUUGGGUGGGAUCAGAACGUGCGGCCUAGCGUCGUUGCGACUUCUACACAUGACCUCACGGGGGUGGGACGACCCGCUAGACUUAAGCAUAUUAAUCAGCGGAGGAAAAGAAACUAACAAGGAUUCCCCUAGUAACUGCGAGUGAAGAGGGAUUAGCUCAAUGUGUGAAUCGGGUUGGGAUUAGCCCCCGUCUCGAGUUGUGCACUAUAGACGCCGGAUCAGCGUUUGAAGGAUCGAGGUGGAUGUCCGAUGAAACUCGGUGCCAUAGAGGGUCAUAGUCCUGUACUUGCCUUGUCAUCCUUUGCGCAUUUGACCGGUGUUCUGCGAGUCGCGUAGUUUUGUAUUGCUGCGCUAAGUGGGAGGUAGAGCCCUUCUAAAGCUAAAUAUGGCGACGUGACCGAUAGCACACAAGUACCGCGAGGGAAAGGUGAAAAGCAACCAUGCAGAAUGGGUUGAAACAGCAGUGAAAGCGCUACUGGGAUAAGGGCUGGGGAUUGCUUGUGUCACUUGCGCGUGCUUUAGUGCUGUGCUUGCGAACGGCGUGCUUUCGUUCGGAUGGGGAGAACAGGGCCUCGGGAAUUCGGCUGGAUCCGUCCAGUGUUGCAGCCCGGGUGCCAGUGGAGCCC